GAUCCUGGCUCAGGAUGAACGCUAGCGACAGGCUUAACACAUGCAAGUCGAGGGGCAGCGGGGUGUAGCAAUACACCGCCGGCGACCGGCGCACGGGUGGGUAACGCGUAUGCAACUUGCCUAUCAGAGGGGGAUAACCCGGCGAAAGUCGGACUAAUACCGCAUGAAGCAGGGAUCCCGCAUGGGAAUAUUUGCUAAAGAUUCAUCGCUGAUAGAUAGGCAUGCGUCCCAUUAGG
Molecule: ribosomal RNA, 236 nt
Filed under: uncultured bacterium
Lineage: Bacteria
Description: partial 16S ribosomal RNA
Rfam family: Bacterial small subunit ribosomal RNA
Source: RNAcentral